UACGUAGGGCGCGAGCGUUGUUCGGAAUUACUGGGCGUAAAGGGCUCGUAGGCGGCCAACUAAGUCAGACGUGAAAUCCCUCGGCUUAACCGGGGAACUGCGUCUGAUACUGGAUGGCUUGAGUUUGGGAGAGGGAUGCGGAAUUCCAGGUGUAGCGGUGAAAUGCGUAGAUAUCUGGAGGAACACCGGGGGCGAAGGCGGCAUCCUGGACCAACACUGACGCUGAGUGAGCGAAAGCCAGGGGAGCAAACGGG
This 254-nucleotide ribosomal RNA is filed under the name uncultured bacterium. RNAcentral's name for it is "partial 16S ribosomal RNA". It matches the Rfam family "Bacterial small subunit ribosomal RNA", at positions 524 to 776 of the family's 1533-position model. The record is from RNAcentral.